UACGUAGGGGGCAAGCGUUGUCCGGAUUUAUUGGGCGUAAAGCGCUCGCAGGUGGUUCAUUGCGUCGUGCGUGAAAGACCCCGGCUCAACUGGGGAGGGUCGUGCGAAACGGGUGAACUAGAGGCCAGUAGGGGGAUGCGGAAUUCCGGGUGAGUGGUGGAAUGCGUAGAGAGUCCGGACGGAACACCGGUGGUGAAGACGGUCUCCUGGGCCGAGGGCCGACGCUGAGGCGCGAGAGCGUGGGGAGCGAACCGG
Molecule: ribosomal RNA, 255 nt
Filed under: uncultured bacterium
Lineage: Bacteria
Description: partial 16S ribosomal RNA
Rfam family: Bacterial small subunit ribosomal RNA
Source: RNAcentral